CACACACACACACACACACACACACGGACAGACACACACACACACACAAGGACAGACAGACACACACACACACACACACACACACACAUACGCACAAAGACAGACACACACACACACACACACACACAGCAGUGUAGUAAAUUCCCUCUGACUGAACAACAACAAGUGGCUCAUUGUGUUUGUCUCUUCUAUUAAAGACUUCUCUUCAGCUGGAGCGAACGGAGGGAAACGUUCCCGUCGAAGAGAAGACAAAGAGUGGAUUAGUUUCUGCCCGCUCAUCAAAAGAAAAACAGAAAUCUAUAAUAUUCUCACUUCUGUCUCCGGCUUGUCAGGACACAUUUUCACAGCUACAAAACUAAACCAUUUGACAUUUUAAUUCCAGAUUUUUGCAGUUUCUUUGGGGAAUUAUCAACCAACGGGAGAUUGUGAAAAUGUGACUCUUUACGUGAGAAAACAAAAACAAAAACAAGCAAAAAAAAAAAAAUGAUUUAUUAAAACCGAAAAAUAAACACAAAUAUGUUCUGCUUCCAGCUUCUUCAAUGUGCAGAUUUGCUUUUUUUUCUGUGUUUUU
This is a long non-coding RNA of Sander lucioperca (pikeperch), 571 nucleotides long. RefSeq lists it as uncharacterized. The transcript is spliced from 2 exons. The record is from RefSeq and is a predicted model, not a curated record. Lineage: Eukaryota; Metazoa; Chordata; Actinopteri; Perciformes; Percidae.